RNAcentral lists this ribosomal RNA (253 nucleotides) under uncultured bacterium. RNAcentral's name for it is "partial 16S ribosomal RNA". It matches the Rfam family "Bacterial small subunit ribosomal RNA", at positions 524 to 776 of the family's 1533-position model. The record is from RNAcentral.
UACGAAGGGGGCUAGCGUUGUUCGGAUUUACUGGGCGUAAAGAGCGUGUAGGCGGCCAAGCAGGUCCGUUGUGAAAACUGGAGGCUUAACCUCCAGACGUCGACGGAAACCGCGUGGCUAGAGUCCGGAAGAGGAGAGUGGAAUUCCUGGUGUAGCGGUGAAAUGCGCAGAUAUCAGGAAGAACACCAAUGGCGAAGGCAGCUCUCUGGGACGGUACUGACGCUGAGACGCGAAAGCGUGGGGAGCGAACAGG